CGGACGCUAAUACCGCAUACGUCCUACGGGAGAAAGCAGGGGACCUUCGGGCCUUGCGCUAUCAGAUGAGCCUAGGUCGGAUUAGCUAGUUGGUGGGGUAAUGGCUCACCAAGGCGACGAUCCGUAACUGGUCUGAGAGGAUGAUCAGUCACACUGGAACUGAGACACGGUCCAGACUCCUACGGGAGGCAGCAGUGGGGAAUAUUGGACAAUGGGCGAAAGCCUGAUCCAGCCAUGCCGCGUGUGUGAAGAAGGUCUUCGGAUUGUAAAGCACUUUAAGUUGGGAGGAAGGGUUGUAGAUUAAUACUCUGCAAUUUUGACGUUACCGACAGAAUAAGCACCGGCUAACUCUGUGCCAGCAGCCGCGGUAAUACAGAGGGUGCAAGCGUUAAUCGGAAUUACUGGGCGUAAAGCGCGCGUAGGUGGUUUGUUAAGUUGGAUGUGAAAUCCCCGGGCUCAACCUGGGAACUGCAUUCAAAACUGACUGACUAGAGUAUGGUAGAGGGUGGUGGAAUUUCCUGUGUAGCGGUGAAAUGCGUAGAUAUAGGAAGGAACACCAGUGGCGAAGGCGACCACCUGGACUAAUACUGACACUGAGGUGCGAAAGCGUGGGGAGCAAACAGGAUUAGAUACCCUGGUAGUCCACGCCGUAAACGAUGUCAACUAGCCGUUGGAAGCCUUGAGCUUUUAGUGGCGCAGCUAACGCA
Molecule: ribosomal RNA, 707 nt
Filed under: Pseudomonas sp. S2IP1(2011)
Lineage: Bacteria; Pseudomonadati; Pseudomonadota; Gammaproteobacteria; Pseudomonadales; Pseudomonadaceae
Description: bacterial SSU rRNA
Rfam family: Bacterial small subunit ribosomal RNA
Source: RNAcentral